UGCCCCGGCGAGGCGGGGCCGGGCGGGAGCGGCCCGAGCGCGGCUCCGCUCGGCUCCUGUGCGGCUGCCGCGGAGCCGGGGCCCGCAGCGAUGGCGGCCGCGCUGGGGCCGUGGCUGCUGCCCUUGGCCUUGGCCUUGUGGCCGCCAGGGCUCUGGGCACAGCCGAGGCUGCAGGAGGCCGGCGGAGGGCUGCGAGCGCCCGGGGACUCCGUCACCCUCUCCUGCCGCGGGUCCGGCUUCACCUUUAGGAAUUCUGGAAUUUGGUGGUACCGUCAGGUACCCGGAGGGAGCCUGGAGUGGGUGGCCUUUAUCAGCUCCCCCUCGGGCAGUAUAGAGGAGUACGGAGCAGCAGUGAAGGGUCGGGCCAAGAUUUCCCGGGACAGUUCCCGGUCCGAAGUUCAUCUCUCUUUGUGGUCUCUGCAAGUUCAGGACUCUGCCCGCUACUUCUGUGCUGUCCCACGGCGACAGCGAAUGCAGAUGAGCUUUAACAGAAACCUUCCAGGGUCUGGCAGAGGUUGCAGGGAAGGUGAAAGUUGCCAGGGGCAGGGAGCCAAUUGGUCUCAAGGCUGUUUCCAAGAAGUCAGGUGCCAUCACUGUGCCCCACAGGCAUUCCUGGCCUUUACCGCACACUGCAGGGAUUCUGAUUUAUUGCCAAUUUGAUUAACAGUAGAACUGUGAGCAAUUAUAAAAUGCCUUGCUAUCACUUUAUCCCUGUUUGCUCCCAGGCCCAUCCUCAAAGCUGCAUUCCUGA
Molecule: non-coding RNA, 751 nt
Organism: Poecile atricapillus (Black-capped chickadee)
Lineage: Eukaryota; Metazoa; Chordata; Aves; Passeriformes; Paridae
Source: the annotation of a RefSeq genome assembly